GACGAACGCUGGCGGCGUGCUUAACACAUGCAAGUCGAACGGAAAGGCCCUGCUUUUGUGGGGUGCUCGAGUGGCGAACGGGUGAGUAACACGUGAGUAACCUGCCCUUGGCUUUGGGAUAACUUCAGGAAACUGGGGCUAAUACCGGAUAGGAGCUCCUGCUGCAUGGUGGGGGUUGGAAAGUUUCGGCGGUUGGGGAUGGACUCGCGGCUUAUCAGCUUGUUGGUGGGGUAGUGGCUUACCAAGGCUUUGACGGGUAGCCGGCCUGAGAGGGUGACCGGCCACAUUGGGACUGAGAUACGGCCCAGACUCCUACGGGAGGCAGCAGUGGGGAAUACUGCACAAUGGGCGGAAGCCUGAUGCAGCAACGCCGCGUGCGGGAUGACGGCCUUCGGGUUGUAAACCGCUUUCGCCUGUGACGAAGCGUGAGUGACGGUAAUGGGUAAAGAAGCACCGGCUAACUACGUG
Molecule: ribosomal RNA, 468 nt
Filed under: uncultured bacterium
Lineage: Bacteria
Description: partial 16S ribosomal RNA
Rfam family: Bacterial small subunit ribosomal RNA
Source: RNAcentral